Molecule: long non-coding RNA, 1133 nt
Organism: Carya illinoinensis
Lineage: Eukaryota; Viridiplantae; Streptophyta; Magnoliopsida; Fagales; Juglandaceae
Exons: 3
Source: RefSeq, a predicted model, not a curated record
AGGUCGGGCCAAGUCCAAGCCGUACCAUAGGCCAGACCCAUGAAGACUCUACAUAGUGUUUUUUUGGUAAGUUGACUCUUUUUCCUAUUCAGUUUCUUUUUUUUCUUUUUCCGUUAUCCUCUAUCACCCCCACGCCCGAAGCCCCUCUUCCCUCCAUCAUCUCUACACCGUUUUUCUCUCCUCAUAUUCCAACUCCCGCACGGUUUCUGCACUUUUAUUUUUUUCUCUCACAUAAAGUUUUUCCACUCAUCAUGCCAAGAUACUCAGGCUCUCGCUCUCUCCUGAAAUUUGUUUUUGGUUCGUCUCUCGUUGCUGCUGUGUUUUCCACGAACCUUGCACUCUCGUCGCCUUUGGUUGAUCUUCACUGGUUUGUGUUAAAUUGAACCCUAGAACGUUUCCUUUUAUCUCCGUUGGACCGAAGCUAACGCUGUCUCUGGCAUUUCUUCUCUUCGCGCAGGUGAGCUCUUUCGCCUCAAUCUUCUACGCUCUGUUCUCAUCCUCACUCUCACUCUCGUACACACAGAUUCACUUUCCCCCUCUGUUUUCACACAACCUCUGUUUUAUUUUCACAUACAUGCCCAUAUCUCUCUUCGUAACUUGAGACUUUAACCAAUUUUAGUUUGUGCUCUUCUUUCCUUUUGAGUCCUACCACCGUGAGCACACCUUGCGUAAAUACUGGCCUCGCCAUGGGCAUAAUAGUGGCAUCAGGCCCCGCCAUGGAUAUAAUAGUAGCAUAAGGCCCUGCUAUGGGUGUAAUAGUGGCAUACGACCCCGUCAUGGAUAUAAUAGUGGCAUACGGCCUCACCACGGGUAUAAUGUGGCACAACCCUACCAUGGUGAUGAAACAUGGAAAACGACCUCACCACGGGUAUAAUGUGGCACAAACCUACCACAAGGAUAAAAUAUGGAAUACGGCCCAACCACGGGUAUAAUGGUGAUUUAUAAACCUACCACAGGGGUGAAACAUGGUACUUAGCCACGGGUAUAAUGAUGGUUUAUAACCUUAUCACGGGGAUUAAAGGUGGUAUCUGUCUCGAUAUGAUGCCCCAAUAAAAUAAGAAGAUUAUGUUUCAGUUUACGAUAUACCAAAAGAUUUUUGGAAUAAGAACUUUUCUCAAAACUUCGCUCUGAUA